Bombyx mori (domestic silkworm) is the source of this 1498-nucleotide long non-coding RNA. RefSeq lists it as uncharacterized. The record is from RefSeq and is a predicted model, not a curated record. The transcript has 3 exons. NCBI's taxonomy places the organism in Eukaryota, Metazoa, Arthropoda, Insecta, Lepidoptera, Bombycidae.
UUUAAUUUUUUCAACGGAGAUAAAACCGGUUUUCUAUAGCACUACGAACCACAAGAACUGCCAUCAACGGAUGACGUAACAAAACGAUUACAUAAAGACGGUUAAAUAUUAUCGAUGUACUACUAAAGCGAUUGACUGCGUCAUUGACAUUGGCGGACGAAGAUCGCGGGCGACAGUGUACUAUUUGGCGCCGGUUCGCUGUGACUCAUACGGUUUUAGUCGAAACUGAUGAGAUUUUCGCGUGAAUCAAAGAAUGUGAACACAACAUUGACUGUCCAAGACUUUGGUGCUGGAAUUCUUCGGACAUAUUGCUCGUAAAGAGGGUCACAAUCUUGAACAGCUGAUGGUGACAGGAAAGGUAGAUGGCAAACGUCCCAGAGGAGGCAGUCCCACGAGAUGAUCGGACCAAAUACGAUCUUCUCUAAGCAUCAAUUUCCACAAUGCCCUUCAUGAAGCUAAGGAUCGCAGCAGAUGGAGGGAAAUCGUACGGGAGAAACUGAUGCAGCGGGGGAGUCUCGACCCUCAGUAAUGAGGAAAACGACGCGAGGAGGAGGAAAAUAAUGUUAAUCUAUCGUGACUGUGGAAUUACCUCAAAGAAAACGCGGCAGAACCAAAAUUUUAAGAGCAGGGUUGUCAACAGUUUUCGGCGCGCACUGCGGUACCGUAGGUCUGGUGUAGCCGGUGUGGUGGAGCUCGAUGGGGUUUAGUCGGUAGUCGUUCUGCGGGGCAAGUGCUUCGCGCGCCUUUUUAAAGGCGUAGUCUCCUGCGAGGGGUUCGGGGAGGUGGAGGACCUUGGCCCUCCUCGUCCCCCUCUUCCUCUCAGGAGGCGCCGGAGUCCGACAUAACCCGGUUCGUUUACCCCCCCGGACCGGGUGGGUAUCCGUAAAUGGAUUCACUAGCGUUAAAAAAAAUAUUCGAAUGUAGUAUAUCAUUUAGUAACAAUGUGAAGGCAGAUGAGUUGUCACUUAUCUCAAGCGUGUCUUUGAAUACUUUUGACAGAUUGUCAGGAUUCGUGAUUACAUUGAAAUGUUGACGCUUGGCGGUAGGUUGCUCAUAUUAUUAUAAGAUUCGCACCGCACCCAUAUACUAACCUAACCUCCUACUGCGCCUGUUCAGUGUAAUAAAGAGACCCGAUAUUUGCAGUUUACCUAGACUAUAAUAUUUGUACAAUAAAAAAAAUUAGAUAAAAAAAACGAAAGUUUACUAAUUCUUCGCGACUAGGGUUGGCGAUAUCUCCCGUAAAUCGAUUUUAGUCGUAGUUUAGUCCUAACAGAAUUAAUUCAAAAAGUUUCAAGUUGCGGAAUAUCGAUUUCAAGAAUCGAUAUUCGUCGAAUUUUCAAUAAUUUUAUAUGAGGAAAACAAAAAACAAAAAAACGAGUUAAUCACGUCACACAAAAGUCAAUCAGGACGCAAAUGAUGCAAUAUCAAUGAACUUAACGCCAUCCGCAGAGCAUUUUCAGACACAUAAAAAAAUACAUUGUUUCUUUUAUCUGUCGUG